This 485-nucleotide ribosomal RNA is filed under the name uncultured bacterium. RNAcentral's name for it is "bacterial SSU rRNA". It matches the Rfam family "Bacterial small subunit ribosomal RNA", at positions 28 to 507 of the family's 1533-position model. The record is from RNAcentral.
GAUGAACGCUAGCGGGAGGCUUAACACAUGCAAGUCGAGGGGCAGCAUAGGGUAGCAAUACUCUGAUGGCGACCGGCAAACGGGUGAGUAACGCGUAUGCAACCUACCCUGUACAGGGGGAUAACCCGGAGAAAUUCGGACUAAUAUCCCGUAAUAAUAUCCGGAGGCAUCUUUGGAUAUUUAAAGUUCCGACGGUACGGGAUGGGCAUGCGUAACAUUAACUGGUUGGUAAGGUAACGGCUUACCAAGGCUAUGAUGUUUAGGGGUCCUGAGAGGGUGGUCCCCCAACUGGUACUGAGACACGGACCAGACUCCUACGGGAGGCAGCAGUGAGGAAUAUUGGUCAAUGGGCGCAAGCCUGAACCAGCCAUCCCGCGUGCAGGAAGACGGCCCUAUGGGUUGUAAACUGCUUUUCCAGGGAGAGAAACUUACGCACGUGUUGCGUGACUGACGGUACCUGGGAAUAAGCAUCGGCUAACUCCGUG